RNAcentral lists this ribosomal RNA (402 nucleotides) under uncultured bacterium. RNAcentral's name for it is "bacterial SSU rRNA". It matches the Rfam family "Bacterial small subunit ribosomal RNA", at positions 29 to 452 of the family's 1533-position model. The record is from RNAcentral.
AACGAACGCUGGCGGCAGGCCUAACACAUGCAAGUCGAACGCCCGUAGCAAUACGGGAGUGGCAGACGGGUGAGUAACGCGUGGGAACGUGCCCUUCGGUUCGGAAUAACUCAGGGAAACUUGAGCUAAUACCGGAUACCUCCGUAAGGAGAAAGAUUUAUCGCCGAAGGAUCGGCCCGCGUCGGAUUAGCUAGUUGGUGAGGUGACGGCCCACCAAGGCGACGAUCCGUAGCUGGUCUGAGAGGACGACCAGCCACACCGGAACUGAGACACGGUCCGGACUCCUACGGGAGGCAGCAGUGGGGAAUAUUGGACAAUGGGGGAAACCCGUACGAUCCAGCGACGCCGCGUGUGUGAAGAAGGCCUGCGGGUUGUAAAGCACUUUUAGUUGGGGACGAAAAA